GCUCAUUCUUGAAUAUAUACGAAAACUGAAACAAUACAGAUAAGAUUAGCAUGGUCCCUGCGCAAGGAUGACACCAAAUUCGUGAAGCGUUCCAAUACGGC
Molecule: non-coding RNA, 101 nt
Organism: Oesophagostomum dentatum (nodular worm)
Lineage: Eukaryota; Metazoa; Nematoda; Chromadorea; Rhabditida; Strongylidae
Source: Rfam